Molecule: ribosomal RNA, 433 nt
Filed under: uncultured bacterium
Lineage: Bacteria
Description: partial 16S ribosomal RNA
Rfam family: Bacterial small subunit ribosomal RNA
Source: RNAcentral
AACGAACGCUGGCGGCAUGCCUAACACAUGCAAGUCGAACGAAACCUUCGGGACAAGUUGCGCACGGGUGUGUAACGCGUCGGAACCUGCCCUUAGGUUUGGAAUAACUCCCCGACAGGGGUGCUAAUACCGGAUAAUGUCUUCUGACCAAAGAUAUAUCGCAUUUGGAUGGGCACGCGUUGGUUAAGCUAUUGGCGAUGGUAAAAGCCUAUGACGGGGUCGAUCCAUAGCUGGGCAAAGAGGAUGGGCAGCCACGCGGGAACUGAGACACGGAACAGACACCUACGGGAUGCGGCGGAGGCGUAUCGUGGACAAUGGGGUAAAGCCAGAACCAGCAAUGCCGCGUAAGUCUUGAAGGCCGGAGAGAUGAAAAGCUCUUUUACCCGGGAUGAUAAUGACAGUACCGAAAGAAUAAGCUCCGGCUAACUCCGUG